RNAcentral lists this ribosomal RNA (437 nucleotides) under uncultured bacterium. Its description in RNAcentral is "partial 16S ribosomal RNA". It matches the Rfam family "Bacterial small subunit ribosomal RNA", at positions 28 to 507 of the family's 1533-position model. The record is from RNAcentral.
GAUGAACGCUGGCGGCAUGCUCAACACAUGCAAGUCGGACGGGACGUGGUGUUUCUAGUGGUGGACGGGUGAGUAACGCGUCAGAAUCUGCACUUGGGUGGGGAACAACUGCUGGAAACGACUGCUAAUACCCCGUAGGCUGAGGAGCAAAAGGAGGAAUCCGCCCGAGGAGGGGCUCGCGGCUGAUUAGCUAGUUGGUGAGGCAAUAGCUUACCAAGGCGGUGAUCAGUAGCUGGUCCGGGAGGAUGAUACGCCACACUGGCACUGAGACACGGGCCAGACUCCUACGGGAGGCAGCAGUGGUGAAUGUUCCGCAAUGGGCGAAAGCCUGACGGAGCGAUGCCGCGUGGAGGUAGAAGGCCUACGGGUCGUGAACUUCUUUUCCCGGAGAAGAAGCAAUGACGGUAUCUGGUGAAUAAGCAUCGGCUAACUCGGUG